GUGAUUGCGACGAAUUAAGUUAAAAUGCGAGCGCUAGUAAUAUUGAUUGUGGUGGCGGCUGCUGCAGCUGAAGAUGGGGAGGAAUUGUCUCCAGACUACCAUAGGACAUCACCUGUGACUGCCAGCUCUGAGCCUAGGAGGGACCCUCCUGAAGGUCCAGGUCGUGAUAACUGGAGCUGUAAGGUCCACUAUGAUUGCAAGCACUACAAAGGGUUCUGCUUGAGGUCCGAGUACGCCUUCUGCGUCGAGAAAGCCUGCAAGUGCCUCCCCAGAAACACCCACAGUACUCACCAUCCCUACCACCAUGUUAGACAUAAAAACGUUAUUUAUUUAUAAUGUAUUCAUGUAUAUACUAAUUCUAUUUGAUCCAACUUCCGCUAAAAUAUACACGGUAGUAUUUGAGAUGGGCGGUGAUGGUCAAGUCGGAAACUACGAAAUUUAGAGGAAAUUCGUGAAAGGAGUCAUGCACUCGAUUUAUAAGAAACAAAUAACUGCAUAUUUAGUUUUUCAAAAUUUCUUAAACUUUUAACGGAAAUCCAUCCGAACGUUUUUUCAAAAAAAUUACAUUCUGUAUUAUCGGACCAAUGGACUCUUAUCUUCAAUCAUAUCAAAUCAAUAUUUGCAGAGAUAUAUAUUACCAAAACUUUACAAAUUGUUCUUCAUAUCUCACUUUUACCUAACUAAUCAGGUGCUCAAAAUGGUUUCUGUUCACUCCAAUGCAUAAGUAUAUACGCCUCUCUAAAGAUCUUACUGCAUUGGAUACCAUGACAGGCUUUAUCGGCGAUAGAAUAUCAACAAAAACCGUAAGAUUUCUAACAAAAAGUUUGAAUCAAACGUGAGUUUUCUUCCGUGUAAAAAUAAUAAAACAGAAAAUUUGGUACUCGCUUCGCUUUAAUUUUUAGUUACCUUUACCUUUACAAAGAUUGAUCCUUAUCAGGAACAGCGUCUAUUGGUGGUAAAAUCAUUCGGGUCCGUCAAAAGUUCAAGAAAUUAAAAAAAACUAAAUAUGCAGUUAUUGUUUUUUUUAUAAAUCGAGGGCAUGACUCCUUUCAUGACUUUUCUCUAAGUUCGUAGUUUCCGACUUGGCCAUCACCGCCCUUCUCAAAAAACCACCCUGUAUACAGUAGAUUAACCAAGUGAUAUUAAAAUUUAUAUUAACCGUUAUAUUGGCAAUAACAUAUAACUAGUAGCAAAGAGUUUAAAUAAUAUCUUAGCUAUAAAUUAUUUAUUUAUUUAUUUAGAUUCAUUAUUUAUUAAGAUUAGAGUAUGAAUAUAUUGUACUAAAUGAUGGUGUAAAUAAUGAUGUUUUGAUUCGAAAACACUAAUCAUAUUGAAAAGUAUAAUAUGUAAUGUUGUAUUAUUUAUUUGUAUAUUUUUAAUUGUUAUAUGUAUCUCAUGUAUUAAAAAAAGAAUAAUUAAC
Molecule: long non-coding RNA, 1420 nt
Organism: Leptidea sinapis
Lineage: Eukaryota; Metazoa; Arthropoda; Insecta; Lepidoptera; Pieridae
Exons: 3
Source: RefSeq, a predicted model, not a curated record